ACAACCAUUACGCCAGCAUCCUAGCCGAAGCGCGGACCUCAGUCCCGGCUGGCCGUAUUACACCCUGGGCUAUAACACCUCCACCGAAGUGGAGGCCACAUUCCCAGAGCCUUUAUCCGGCCGCCGAAACUGAUGCUGGCCUGUCCAAACUGAGUAAACCGGUCAGAAGACCGGCCGAACAGUUUAAACAAGUCUGAUUGCAAGCGCUUCCCUUUCAACAAUUUCACGUGCUUUUUAACUCUCUUUCCAAAGUGCUUUUCAUCUUUCGAUCACUCUACUUGUGCGCUAUCGGUCUCUCGCCAAUAUUUAGCUUUAGAAGAAAUUUACCUCCCAUUUAGAGCUGCAUUCCCAAACAACUCGACUCGUCGAAGGAGAUUUACAUAGGGUGCCAUUUCCUGUCACAUACGGGAUUCUCACCCUCUAUGACGUCCUGUUCCAAGGAACUUAGACAGGCGGCUUCCCCAAAUCAUCCUCUACAAAUUACAAUGCGAACCCGAAGGCUAGCUUUCAAAUUUGAGCUGUUGCCGCUUCACUCGCCGUUACUAGGGCAAU
Molecule: ribosomal RNA, 552 nt
Filed under: Aureobasidium proteae
Lineage: Eukaryota; Fungi; Ascomycota; Dothideomycetes; Dothideales; Saccotheciaceae
Description: partial 26S ribosomal RNA
Source: RNAcentral